UUAGGCAGGGCCGCGUGUGGCACGGGGUGGGCACACACGUGUGCGCAGCGCGGGGGAAACGGCAACUAUUGCAAGCCAGAAAACAGAAACCUGCAGCUUGGUGGGAGCAGCCCCCCCCAUGGCCACCUCCCUUCCCAGCCUGGGCUCCCCCAGAAACCCGGGAAUCAGCAGAGGCGCAGGGGAUCCCCUCUCUCCGGAGAAGGCAUCCAUCCACAAGAUGACCAGAAACAGAGCCGCGCACAGGCAAAAGCAGCCAAACACACCAAAUCUAAGACGACCCUGAAUUUAAGAUGACCACCCUCCCCCAUCAUUAGAUUCGAGACUCGAAGACAGCAAAAGAUGAUUUGAUGUUUGCAACUCCAAAUCCCAGAAGAGACAAUACCCUGUUGACAGAAAACUAUCAUAGGAUCCUGGAAAAGUCAUAGAAAUAAUACUAGAAGAGACUGGACAAAACACAGCACGUCAAAUCAACACCAGCCCUCUGCUUAGGUGGCCCUCUGCUUAGGUGACCUGAGGAAACUGGUGUGAAACAGGAGUGUUUGCCAGGGGGACACACCCUGCAUCCACCACCAGCACUGCUAGAAGUACAUACAGACUCUCAUCUUUAUAUCUCCAGCAGCAGCUCAGAUCAAAUGAGCCACUAUCAAGUGGAGGCAUCUGAAUCCCAAGACCUCUGGGCUUAGGCCUGCGCAUAGGAUGCCUGCCAAUGGAUUUGGGAGUAUCUAAAGCCCUGGGUGAGAGCCUGAGACAGAGGAUGCUUGCCAGUUGUAGCACCAUACCUGGUGUUUAGAAUGAUUGAGGUCUGCCUGCUCAAUUGAUGUGGUUUUUGGAAUGAUCGAAUUCUGCUCAGUCGAUAUGAUUUGGAACUGAUUGGGCUUUUUUGACCUGGAACAUGAAAUAUAUUAAUAAAAAAAACACCCCUGUAAUUUUACAGCCUUGCAUUGCUCAGAGUUUGAAGCCCUAGUUCUAGGAGUAUUGGUCUUCAUUUUCCCCUAAUCCCCAGUAAAAGGCAUUAAUUUUAUCCCCAGCUAACUGAUAACCUUUGCUCUUGGAGAAGCCAGUGCUUCUGGGAAGCCUGUUUAGCUCAAGAACAAAGAGGACUCCCAACUCAGUACCAGAAGGGACCUGACACAUGAUGUUUUUGAGAAGGCUCUUGUUAAAAUGUUGGCAGCACAUCACUAAUAGACUGGCAGCCAUGGGAGAUUUUGGGGAUAGAAAGGUACACGGUGUUCCCGGGAUUUUGUCUUCGUUGAGUAUCAAGGACUUACCUCCUUUUAGUUAUGCUGCAAGACAAAGAGGGCAAGAAUUUUAAACAAAGUAACUACAACGGUGUAUGUUAAAU
This is a long non-coding RNA of Alligator sinensis (Chinese alligator), 1342 nucleotides long. RefSeq lists it as uncharacterized. The record is from RefSeq and is a predicted model, not a curated record. NCBI's taxonomy places the organism in Eukaryota, Metazoa, Chordata, Crocodylia, Alligatoridae. The transcript is spliced from 3 exons.